AGAGUUUGAUCCUGGCUCAGGAUGAACGCUGGCGGCGUGCCUAAUACAUGCAAGUCGAGCGUGCCUCUUUUUAAGAGGCCAGCGGCGAACGGGUGAGUAACACGUAGGUCAUCUACCCAAGAGACGGGGAUAACGUUUGGAAACGAACGCUAAUACCCGAUAAGAUGAAAAUUUAAAGAGGCUCUCAAGCCUCACUCUUG
RNAcentral lists this ribosomal RNA (200 nucleotides) under uncultured bacterium. RNAcentral's name for it is "partial 16S ribosomal RNA". It matches the Rfam family "Bacterial small subunit ribosomal RNA", at positions 8 to 223 of the family's 1533-position model. The record is from RNAcentral.